Polyplosphaeria fusca is the source of this 99-nucleotide non-coding RNA. NCBI's taxonomy places the organism in Eukaryota, Fungi, Ascomycota, Dothideomycetes, Pleosporales, Tetraplosphaeriaceae. The record is from the annotation of a GenBank genome assembly.
GGUGAGGUGGCCGAGUGGUCUAAGGCGCUGUGUUUAGGCUCUUCAAACAGCUUGAAACCGCAGUCUUCACGGGCGUGGGUUCGAAUCCCACCCUCAUCA